RNAcentral lists this long non-coding RNA (1065 nucleotides) under Homo sapiens (human). RNAcentral's name for it is "CDKN2B and CDKN2A antisense cis and trans regulatory RNA 1, transcript variant 8 (CDKN2B-AS1)". The stretch from base 379 to 522 matches the Rfam family "CDKN2B antisense RNA 1 convserved region 3". The record is from RNAcentral. Lineage: Eukaryota; Metazoa; Chordata; Mammalia; Primates; Hominidae.
AGCUACAUCCGUCACCUGACACGGCCCUACCAGGAACAGCCGCGCUCCCGCGGAUUCUGGUGCUGCUCGCGUCCCCGCUCCCCUAUUCCCCUUAUUUUAUUCCUGGCUCCCCUCGUCGAAAGUCUUCCAUUCUUCAAACUAGAUUAUUUAAAAAUGAAAAAGGAAGAAAGGAAAGCGAGGUCAUCUCAUUGCUCUAUCCGCCAAUCAGGAGGCUGAAUGUCAGUUUUGAACUAAAAGCCGCUCCGCUCCUCUUCUAGAUUUGGAAAACAAGCGAAAUUAAACUAAACCGCUGCACGCCUCUGACGCGACAUCUGGACACGGCGCGGCGCUGGCGCUGCCGGAGCUGUCGACCCGGCCUGGCGCCGGACUAGUGUCCCUUUUGAUGAGAAGAAUAAGCCUCAUUCUGAUUCAACAGCAGAGAUCAAAGAAAAGACUUCUGUUUUCUGGCCACCAGAUAUAUGUUAUCUGUGCUUAAAGAAUUGAAAAACACACAUCAAAGGAGAAUUUUCUUGGAAAGAGAGGGUUCAAGCAUCACUGUUAGGUGUGCUGGAAUCCUUUCCCGAGUCAGUACUGCUUUCUAGAAGAAAACCGGGGAGAUCUAUUUGGAAUGUAUCUAACUCCAAAGAAACCAUCAGAGGUAACAGUAUCUUACAGACAGCAAGUUGAACAUUGUGGGAUGCAUGAGCUAUUGAGGCCUUUGCAGCUUUCUGCUACAUGGAGGCUAGGGCCAGAGUCAAGAUUUAUGCUUUGCAGCACACUGGUCAGCUGUUUUUGCAAAUCAGAUUAAAUGAUUUUUAAAUGAGGCUGAGAGCAUGGGAGAUACUAAUGUGUGUUUCCUUGUGAGCUACUGCAUAAGUUAGGAAAUUGAAAUACAGAAAGAUGAAAAGUGAUUUGCCCAAGCAUAUAGAUCAAAGCUGUGGCAGAACCAGGACUGGAACCUAUAUCUCUCUACUAAUGGUUUUUUUAAAAAAAUAACCUUGUUUCAAAAAUAUUAAAAAGUCACAAGAAAGGUAAACAUGUGGAUAAACAAAAUGAAGAAAAUAAAAAUUAUCCAGUAAUAACAUA